CCUACGGGAGGCAGCAGUGGGGAAUAUUGGAUAAUGGGCGAAAGCCUGAUCCAGCAAUGCCGCGUGAGUGAUGAAGGCCUUAGGGUUGUAAAGCUCUUUUACCAGGGAUGAUAAUGACAGUACCUGGAGAAUAAGCUCCGGCUAACUCCGUGCCAGCAGCCGCGGUAAUACGGAGGGAGCUAGCGUUGUUCGGAAUUACUGGGCGUAAAGCGUACGUAGGCGGUUAUUCAAGUCAGAGGUGAAAGCCUGGAGCUCAACUCCAGAACUGCCUUUGAAACUAGAUAGCUAGAAUCUUGGAGAGGUGAGUGGAAUUCCGAGUGUAGAGGUGAAAUUCGUAGAUAUUCGGAAGAACACCAGUGGCGAAGGCGACUCACUGGACAAGUAUUGACGCUGAGGUACGAAAGCGUGGGGAGCAAACAGGAUUAGAUACCCUGGUAGUCCACGCCGUAAACGAUGAUAACUAGCUGUUCGGGCUCUACGAGCUUGAGUGGCGCAGCUACGACAUUAAGUUAGUCCGUCCGUCGGGAGGUACGGUCGCGAGAAGUUAAACGUAACGUAAAGUUAAGUUAGUACGCGUUGAGAGNGCGACGGACGACGACGAGGGAGGAGG
RNAcentral lists this ribosomal RNA (610 nucleotides) under uncultured bacterium. RNAcentral's name for it is "bacterial SSU rRNA". The stretch from base 1 to 519 matches the Rfam family "Bacterial small subunit ribosomal RNA", at positions 338 to 873 of the family's 1533-position model. The record is from RNAcentral.